GUAUAGGGGAGCCGUAGGGAAACCGAGUCUUAACCGGGCGUUAAGUUGCAGGGUAUAGACCCGAAACCCGGUGAUCUAGCCAUGGGCAGGUUGAAGGUUGGGUAACACUAACUGGAGGACCGAACCGACUAAUGUUGAAAAAUUAGCGGAUGACCUGUGGCUGGGGGUGAAAGGCCAAUCAAACCGGGAGAUAGCUGGUUCUCCCCGAAAGCUAUUUAGGUAGCGCCUCGUGAAUUCAUCUCCGGGGGUAGAGCACUGUUUCGGCUAGGGGGCCAUCCCGGCUUACCAACCCGAUGCAAACUGCGAAUACCGGAGAAUGUUAUCACGGGAGACACACGGCGGGUGCUAACGUCCGUCGUGAAGAGGGAAACAACCCAGACCGCCAGCUAAGGUCCCAAAGUCAUGGUUAAGUGGGAAACGAUGUGGGAAGGCCCAGACAGCCAGGAUGUUGGCUUAGAAGCAGCCAUCAUUUAAAGAAAGCGUAAUAGCUCACUGGUCGAGUCGGCCUGCGCGGAAGAUGUAACGGGGCUAAACCAUGCACCGAAGCUGCGGCAGCGAACGUAUCACCCAAGACAACUUUACGGAGUUGACGAUUGACGGAGCGAAGCGACGUCAAAGCGUUCAUUAAAGUCGAGUUGGCUUAGGGAUACGUUCGUUGGGUAGGGGAGCGUUCUGUAAGCCUGUGAAGGUGUGUCGUGAGGCAUGCUGGAGGUAUCAGAAGUGCGAAUGCUGACAUAAGUAACGAUAAAGCGGGUGAAAAGCCCGCUCGCCGGAAGACCAAGGGUUCCUGUCCAACGUUAAUCGGGGCAGGGUGAGUCGACCCCUAAGGCGAGGCCGAAAGGCGUAGUCGAUGGGAAACGGGUUAAUAUUCCCGUACUUGGUGUUACUGCGAAGGGGGGACGGAGAAGGCUAUGUUGGCCGGGCGACGGUUGUCCCGGUUUAAGCGUGUAGGUGUGUGUUCCAGGUAAAUCCGGUUCACUUUAACACUGAGGCGUGACGACGAGGCACUACGGUGCUGAAGCAACAAAUGCCCUGCUUCCAGGAAAAGCCUCUAAGCAUCAGGUAACACGAAAUCGUACCCCAAACCGACACAGGUGGUCAGGUAGAGAAUACCAAGGCGCUUGAGAGAACUCGGGUGAAGGAACUAGGCAAAAUGGUGCCGUAACUUCGGGAGAAGGCACGCUGACACGUAGGUGAAGUGAUUUACUCAUGGAGCUGAAGUCAGUCGAAGAUACCAGCUGGCUGCAACUGUUUAUUAAAAACACAGCACUGUGCAAACACGAAAGUGGACGUAUACGGUGUGACGCCUGCCCGGUGCCGGAAGGUUAAUUGAUGGGGUCAGCGCAAGCGAAGCUCCUGAUCGAAGCCCCGGUAAACGGCGGCCGUAACUAUAACGGUCCUAAGGUAGCGAAAUUCCUUGUCGGGUAAGUUCCGACCUGCACGAAUGGCGUAAUGAUGGCCAGGCUGUCUCCACCCGAGACUCAGUGAAAUUGAACUCGCUGUGAAGAUGCAGUGUACCCGCGGCAAGACGGAAAGACCCCGUGAACCUUUACUAUAGCUUGACACUGAACAUUGAGCCUUGAUGUGUAGGAUAGGUGGGAGGCUUUGAAGUGUGGACGCCAGUCUGCAUGGAGCCGACCUUGAAAUACCACCCUUUAAUGUUUGAUGUUCUAACGUGGACCCGUAAUCCGGGUUGCGGACAGUGUCUGGUGGGUAGUUUGACUGGGGCGGUCUCCUCCUAAAGAGUAACGGAGGAGCACGAAGGUUGGCUAAUCCUGGUCGGACAUCAGGAGGUUAGUGCAAUGGCAUAAGCCAGCUUGACUGCGAGCGUGACGGCGCGAGCAGGUGCGAAAGCAGGUCAUAGUGAUCCGGUGGUUCUGAAUGGAAGGGCCAUCGCUCAACGGAUAAAAGGUACUCCGGGGAUAACAGGCUGAUACCGCCCAAGAGUUCAUAUCGACGGCGGUGUUUGGCACCUCGAUGUCGGCUCAUCACAUCCUGGGGCUGAAGUAGGUCCCAAGGGUAUGGCUGUUCGCCAUUUAAAGUGGUACGCGAGCUGGGUUUAGAACGUCGUGAGACAGUUCGGUCCCUAUCUGCCGUGGGCGCUGGAGAACUGAGGGGGGCUGCUCCUAGUACGAGAGGACCGGAGUGGACGCAUCACUGGUGUUCGGGUUGUCAUGCCAAUGGCACUGCCCGGUAGCUAAAUGCGGAAGAGAUAAGUGCUGAAAGCAUCUAAGCACGAAACUUGCCCCGAGAUGAGUUCUCCCUGAGACUUAGAGUCUCCUGAAGGAACGUUGAAGACGACGACGUUGAUAGGCCGGGUGUGUAAGCGCAGCGAUGCGUUGAGCUAACCGGUACUAAUGAACCGUGAGGCUUAACCUUACA
Molecule: ribosomal RNA, 2382 nt
Filed under: Salmonella enterica subsp. enterica serovar Typhimurium
Lineage: Bacteria; Pseudomonadati; Pseudomonadota; Gammaproteobacteria; Enterobacterales; Enterobacteriaceae
Description: partial 23S ribosomal RNA
Rfam family: Bacterial large subunit ribosomal RNA
Source: RNAcentral